AUUGAACGCUGGCGGCAUGCUUUACACAUGCAAGUCGAACGGUAACAGGCCGCAAGGUGCUGACGAGUGGCGAACGGGUGAGUAAUGCAUCGGAACGUGCCCAGUCGUGGGGGAUAACGCAGCGAAAGCUGCGCUAAUACCGCAUACGAUCUGUGGAUGAAAGCGGGGGACCGUAAGGCCUCGCGCGAUUGGAGCGGCCGAUGUCAGAUUAGGUAGUUGGUGAGGUAAAGGCUCACCAAGCCGACGAUCUGUAGCUGGUCUGAGAGGACGACCAGCCACACUGGGACUGAGACACGGCCCAGACUCCUACGGGAGGCAGCAGUGGGGAAUUUUGGACAAUGGGCGCAAGCCUGAUCCAGCCAUGCCGCGUGAGUGAAGAAGGCC
Molecule: ribosomal RNA, 384 nt
Filed under: uncultured bacterium
Lineage: Bacteria
Description: bacterial SSU rRNA
Rfam family: Bacterial small subunit ribosomal RNA
Source: RNAcentral